UAAGGAAUUUUCGUCAAUGGGCGCAAGCCUGAACGAGCAACGCCGCGUGUGGGAUGACGGCCUUCGGGUUGUAAACCACUUUUGAGGGGGACGAUCAUGACGGUACCCCUGGAAUAAGCCCCGGCUAACUCUGUG
RNAcentral lists this ribosomal RNA (135 nucleotides) under uncultured bacterium. RNAcentral describes it as "partial 16S ribosomal RNA". It matches the Rfam family "Bacterial small subunit ribosomal RNA", at positions 355 to 507 of the family's 1533-position model. The record is from RNAcentral.